AGCUACACGAUUGUCCAAACCCACCUCUGGAGGUACGGGUGCAGAGCCUGAUGGGAAAGAGGAAGCAUGAGCUAAGGAACCAACAGUGGCAGUGACCUCACGUGCAAACCGUCUGUCAGGGCCACAGACACACAUGCAGAAGACAAGAAUCUGAGCAGAGGCUCACUGAGUCCCUUCCCGUCGGACACUGCAAUGAGCUGCUGGCCCCUCUGCUGUGCGGUCCUUUGUCUCCUCGGGGCAGUCCCCCUGGACACUGCAAUUACCCAGAUACCAAAACACCUGCUCGCAGCAACAGGGAGUAAUCAGACCCUCAAGUGCGAACAACAUCUGGGACAUAAUGCUAUGUUCUGGUAUAAACAGAGCGCUCAGAGCCCACUGAAGCUCAUGUUUGCCUACAACUAUAAGAAGCUCGUUGAAAAUGACAGUAUCCCCAGUCGCUUCACACCUGAUUGCCCAGACAGCUCCCACCUGGACCUUCACGUGGCCACCCUGCAGCCAGAUGACUCUGCCGUGUAUCUGUGUGCCAGCAGCAAGGACACAGCCCCGCACAGACAGCUGCUCCCUGUGCACAAACCUCCCCGGUGCAGUCAGGGAGCCGUGGGGAUGACCACGGCUCAGCUCAACGUCUCCCGCGGGGCCCCAGACAGCAAUCCCAGACCAUGACGCUGUCAGUCGGCCGGGUGCAGCGAUGCCCCGGUCCCUGCACAGACGCCCACAGCCUGUGACCGGCUCUGCCCGGGUGCCCCCAUGCCCGCCGCUGAGGACAGGACAGGAACGGUCCACCCGAGGUCCCUCCAGGAGCUUCCGAUCGGCACGUGGCCCCGGGGAAGCUCUCAUGAGACGCGUCCCUCUCUGGCCACAGAGGCGCUGCCCAGCCUCCUGCCCACAGGUGCCUUUCUCCGAUGUUCUUUCCACCCAGGACACACAGAACCUGAAGUCAGGCAGACCCCCAGGCAGCAGGUCACAGAGAUGGGG
Molecule: non-coding RNA, 975 nt
Organism: Hyaena hyaena (striped hyena)
Lineage: Eukaryota; Metazoa; Chordata; Mammalia; Carnivora; Hyaenidae
Source: the annotation of a RefSeq genome assembly